Long non-coding RNA from Bufo gargarizans (Asiatic toad), 331 nucleotides. RefSeq lists it as uncharacterized. Lineage: Eukaryota; Metazoa; Chordata; Amphibia; Anura; Bufonidae. The record is from RefSeq and is a predicted model, not a curated record. The transcript has 3 exons.
CUGGAGGCGCCGCCAGCAGCAGCCGCCGCCGCUGCCGCUGCUGAGUGGGGGAAGAAGACGCGCGCGGCCGCCGCCGCCGCAGCUGCAGCCGCCUUCUCAGGGUUGGAGAGCAAAGAGUCAGAUCAGAUUGAAGUGAACAAAGUUUUGAAUUAUUGACUAAUUCCAGUACUGAACUGACCAACUAAGUAAGAAUGUCAAGUUAUGCUGUGGAUAUCCUCUGCAGAUUUCACUCUGCAAUGUGUCAGGUGAAGUCCAGGACAAAGUUGCAGCCGAUAUCUGUAUGCCUUCCCUGAUCAUCCCAGUGUAUGAAUCAACGGUAACAAUAAUCUAU